CUGCGAGGAACAGAGGCGCGGGAGGCGCGCGGAGCCAGAGCAGAGCCCGUGCGCGCGCCACCAUGCCCUUGGCCUUCUGCGGCACCGAGAACCACUCGGCCGCCUACCGGGUGGACCAAGGUGUCCUCAACAACGGCUGCUUCGUGGACGCGCUCAACGUAGUGCCACAUGUCUUCCUGCUCUUCAUCACAUUCCCCAUCCUCUUCAUCGGAUGGGGCAGCCAGAGCUCCAAGGUACACAUUCACCAUAGCACCUGGCUCCAUUUCCCUGGCCACAACCUGCGCUGGAUCCUUACCUUCAUGCUGCUCUUUGUCCUGGUGUGUGAGAUCGCUGAGGGUAUCCUGUCUGAUGGGGUGACAGAAUCCCGCCACCUCCAUUUGUACAUGCCAGCUGGGAUGGCUUUCAUGGCUGCCAUCACCUCUGUGGUCUACUAUCACAACAUUGAGACCUCUAACUUCCCCAAGCUGCUGAUCGCUCUGCUUAUCUACUGGACCUUGGCCUUCAUCACUAAGACCAUCAAGUUCGUCAAGUUCUACGACCACGCCAUCGGCUUCUCUCAGCUGCGCUUCUGCCUCACGGGGCUUCUGGUGAUCCUCUACGGGAUGCUGCUGCUGGUGGAGAUCAAUGUCAUCCGGGUGCGGAGGUACAUCUUCUUCAAGACGCCAAGGGAAGUGAAGCCCCCUGAGGACCUGCAGGACCUGGGGGUGCGCUUUCUGCAGCCCUUCGUGAAUCUGCUGUCAAAGGGGACCUACUGGUGGAUGAAUGCCUUCAUCAAGACUGCCCACAGGAAGCCCAUCGACCUGCGGGCCAUCGGGAAGCUGCCCAUCGCCAUGAGAGCCCUCACCAACUAUCAGCGACUCUGCGCGGCCUUCGAUGCCCAGGCGCGGAAAGACACGCAGAGCCAGCAGGGCGCCCGGGCCAUCUGGAGGGCUCUCUGCCAUGCCUUUGGGAGACGCCUGGUCCUCAGCAGCACAUUCCGUAUCCUGGCUGACCUGCUGGGCUUUGCUGGACCGCUCUGCAUCUUUGGGAUCGUGGACCACCUCGGGAAGGAGAACCAUGUCUUCCAGCCCAAGACACAGUUUCUUGGGGUUUACUUUGUCUCGUCCCAAGAGUUCCUGGGCAACGCCUAUGUCUUGGCUGUACUUCUGUUCCUGGCCCUCCUGCUGCAAAGGACGUUCCUGCAAGCCUCGUACUACGUCGCCAUUGAAACUGGGAUUAACCUGAGAGGGGCGAUCCAGACCAAGAUUUACAAUAAGAUCAUGCACUUGUCUACUUCCAACCUGUCAAUGGGGGAGAUGACGGCUGGGCAGAUCUGCAACCUGGUGGCCAUCGACACAAAUCAGCUCAUGUGGUUUUUCUUCUUAUGCCCAAACCUCUGGGCUAUGCCAGUACAGAUCAUUGUGGGCGUGAUCCUCCUCUACUACAUCCUUGGGGUCAGUGCCUUGAUUGGAGCAGCUGUCAUCAUUCUGCUGGCUCCUGUACAGUACUUUGUGGCCACCAAGCUCUCCCAGGCACAGCGGAGCACCCUGGAAUAUUCCAAUGAAAGGCUGAAGCAGACCAACGAGAUGCUCCGGGGCAUCAAACUGCUCAAACUGUACGCGUGGGAGAACAUCUUCUGCUCGAGGGUGGAGAUGACGCGCAGGAAGGAAAUGACCAGCCUCAGAGCCUUCGCUGUCUACACCUCCAUCUCCAUCUUCAUGAACACAGCUAUCCCCAUUGCUGCCGUCCUCAUUACCUUUGUGGGCCACGUCAGCUUCUUCAAAGAGUCAGACUUCUCACCCUCGGUGGCCUUUGCCUCUCUCUCUCUCUUCCACAUCCUGGUCACACCGCUGUUCCUGCUGUCUAGUGUGGUUCGGUCCACCGUCAAGGCCCUAGUGAGUGUGCAAAAGCUGAGUGAGUUCCUGUCCAGUGCAGAGAUCCGUGAGGAACAGUGUGCCCCCCGAGAGCCUGCACCCCAAGGCCAAGCGGGCAAGUACCAGGCGGUGCCCCUCAAGGUUGUGAACCGCAAGCGCCCAGCCCGGGAAGAGGUUCGGGACCUCUUGGGCCCACUGCAGAGGCUGACCCCCAGCAUGGAUGGAGAUGCUGACAACUUCUGUGUCCAGAUCAUCGGAGGCUUCUUCACCUGGACCCCUGAUGGAAUCCCCACCCUGUCCAACAUCACCAUCCGUAUCCCCCGAGGCCAGCUGACCAUGAUUGUGGGGCAGGUGGGCUGCGGCAAGUCCUCGCUCCUUCUGGCCACCCUGGGGGAGAUGCAGAGGGUCUCCGGGGCCGUCUUCUGGAACAGCAGCCUUCCAGACAGCGAGGGAGAAGACCCCAGGUAUUGCCUCAGGACAAGCAACCCAGAGCGGGAGACAGCAGCCGACUCGGAUGCCAGGAGCAGAGGCCCCGUAGCCUACGCAUCUCAGAAACCAUGGCUGCUAAAUGCCACGGUGGAGGAGAACAUCACCUUCGAGAGUCCCUUCAAUAAGCAAAGGUACAAGAUGGUCAUCGAAGCCUGCUCCCUGCAGCCAGACAUAGACAUCUUACCCCAUGGAGACCAGACUCAGAUUGGGGAACGGGGCAUCAACUUGUCUGGUGGUCAGCGUCAGCGAAUCAGUGUAGCCCGAGCCCUCUACCAGCACACCAAUGUUGUCUUCUUGGAUGACCCUUUCUCAGCUCUGGAUGUCCAUCUGAGCGACCACCUGAUGCAGGCUGGCAUCCUUGAGCUGCUCCGGGAUGACAAGAGGACAGUGGUCUUGGUGACCCACAAGCUACAGUACCUGCCUCAUGCAGACUGGAUCAUUGCUAUGAAGGAUGGCACCAUUCAGAGGGAGGGGACGCUCAAGGACUUCCAGAGGUCUGAGUGCCAGCUCUUUGAGCAUUGGAAGACCCUCAUGAACAGGCAAGACCAAGAGCUGGAGAAGGAGACAGUCAUGGAGAGGAAAGCCCCAGAACCGUCUCAGGGCCUGCCCCGUGCCAUGUCCUCAAGAGAUGGCCUUCUGCUGGAUGAGGACGAGGAGGAAGAGGAGGCGGCCGAGAGCGAGGAAGAUGACAACUUAUCUUCGGUGCUGCAUCAGCGAGCCAAGAUCCCAUGGCGGGCCUGCACUAAGUAUUUGUCCUCUGCCGGCGUCCUGCUCUUGUCCCUGCUUGUCUUCUCCCAGCUACUCAAGCACAUGGUCUUGGUGGCCAUUGAUUACUGGCUGGCCAAGUGGACGGACAGUGCCCUGGUCCUGAGCCCUGCUGCCAGGAACUGCUCCCUCAGCCAGGAAUGCGCCCUGGACCAGUCUGUCUAUGCCAUGGUAUUCACCGUGCUCUGCAGCCUGGGAAUUGCACUGUGCCUUGUCACCUCUGUCACUGUGGAGUGGACAGGACUGAAGGUGGCCAAGAGGCUGCACCGCAGCCUGCUCAAUCGCAUCAUCCUGGCCCCCAUGAGGUUCUUUGAGACCACGCCCCUGGGGAGUAUCCUGAACAGAUUUUCAUCUGACUGUAACACCAUUGACCAGCACAUCCCAUCCACGCUGGAGUGUCUGAGCCGAUCCACUCUACUCUGUGUCUCCGCCUUGACUGUCAUCUCCUACGUCACACCUGUGUUCCUCGUGGCCCUCUUACCCCUAGCUGUGGUGUGCUACUUCAUCCAGAAAUACUUCCGAGUGGCGUCCAGGGACCUGCAGCAGCUGGAUGACACAACGCAGCUCCCUCUGCUCUCACACUUUGCUGAAACCGUGGAAGGACUCACCACCAUCCGUGCCUUCAGGUACGAGGCCCGGUUCCAGCAGAAGCUCCUGGAGUACACGGACUCCAACAACAUCGCCUCCCUCUUCCUCACGGCAGCCAACAGGUGGCUAGAAGUCCGCAUGCCCGGGCCAGCUGCUGUCCUUCCUCAGGAGUACAUUGGAGCAUGCGUGGUACUCAUCGCAGCCGCCACCUCCAUCUCCAACUCCCUGCACAGGGAGCUCUCUGCUGGUCUGGUGGGCCUGGGCCUCACCUACGCCUUGAUGGUCUCCAACUACCUCAACUGGAUGGUGAGGAACCUGGCAGACAUGGAGAUCCAAUUGGGGGCUGUGAAGCGCAUCCACACACUCCUGAAAACUGAGGCAGAGAGCUAUGAGGGGCUCCUAGCACCGUCAUUGAUCCCCAAGAACUGGCCAGACCAAGGGAAGAUUCAAAUUCAAAACCUGAGUGUGCGCUAUGACAGCUCCCUGAAGCCCGUGCUGAAGCACGUCAAUGCCCUCAUCGCCCCAGGACAGAAGGUCAGCUGGGCUGGGAGCCCAUUGGGUGGACAACAGCAGGCUGCGGCCCUCUCCCUACCCCCAGGCCCCAUCCACAGCAGAAACAGUCAUCUAGGACUCCCUUGGUUUAGAGAGCUUUGCCAGGCUCCUUCCCAGCCAAGGGUCCCUGGCUCUCCCUGCUAUAUCCUCUGGACCUGCAGAGCGGAGCUCUCAGGCAGCGAGGGACGCUGCUGCCGCUGUCCAGCGCUCUGCGUCCUCACGUCCCUCAUUCAGCCCAUCUCUGACACGUCCCUCUUUCUCUGCCUUUGUCUUUCUGUCCCCUUGGUGGUGCUGUCUUGCUCUGUCCAGCCUUGGGGAAUAUCUGCCCCUGCCUGUCUCUUCCACCCUGGCCCUUCAGCACCACUAUUUCAGUCUCUAUAUCAGUCCUUUAUGCAAAUUUCUGUUGGGAAUCAAGAACGGGGAAGCAGUGGGAUCCGGUGUGAGUCCCGCCAUACACUUGCCCACAGAAGCACACCGCGGCCCUCACUCCUGACAGCUACCAGACAGGAUGUGGGUCUUCCCUGCAGACCUGUACCAAGACCUGUGCCACUAGACACCUAUGCCUGUACUCUUCUCUGGGGUGGCCAGAGAGAGCCCUCUCUAAGCCCACCAAGGAAACAAGCUCAAACCCGUGUCCAGCCAGGCUAAAGAGAAGCUGGGCAGAAGACCGGGACUAGAGGAGGCGCUGUGACCCCCACACCUGUGCACACCCCAGGUCCACAGCGACACGCCUGCUUCUCUGCUUCCAGAUCGGGAUCUGCGGCCGCACAGGCAGUGGGAAGUCCUCCUUCUCUCUCGCCUUUUUCCGAAUGGUGGACAUGUUCGAAGGGCGCAUCAUCAUUGAUGGCAUCGACAUCGCCAAGCUGCCGCUGCACACGCUCCGUUCACGCCUCUCCAUCAUCCUACAGGACCCUGUCCUCUUCAGCGGCACCAUCAGAUUCAACCUGGACCCAGAGAAGAAAUGCUCAGACAGCACACUCUGGGAGGCUCUGGAGAUCGCCCAGCUGAAGCUGGUGGUGAAGGCACUGCCAGGAGGCCUGGGUGACUGCUCCUGGCACCGAUGGGUUUGGAAGGAAAACAUCACACCCAUGGCUAGGAUGAGCGUUGAGCUUGGAGCCCCAAGUCUAACUAGGAUUCAGUGACCGUGCUAUCCCACAGGGUUCAGAGGUCAAAAAAAUCUGCCUAGGGUCACACAACACACCUAGCUCAGAGUCUAGCAUAGGGGGACAUUCAGGGUCCCUAGGAGACAGACUUCAAGUCCUCCAUACCACAGUGUUCCUUGAGCCCUGUCUUGCCCUGUCUGCCUGCCCUGUGGACAAGGGUCACAGUGGACAUUGGUACAGAACGUGCCCAUAGGGAAGGCUCUUCCCCAGUCCAGGGUCUGUCAGAAUCAUGGUGUAGGCACUGUGAGGCUAGACAGGCUCUGACAUUGCUGGUUCACCCUCCAGCCAAAGCUUCCACCAGGACUGCCCAGGGCCCCAGCGGUGCAGAGCACCAGGAUGACCAGUGCACACUGAAUCCAUAUGAUUGGAAGCCCUGUUGUGUCAGACACAUCAUCCCCGCCUGCGCACACACACCGACACAGAACAUGUCUGUACCCUGCACAUACAUCCCCCUCCAUGGGGCUACUCUGCUCACAGGCAGGAUUUACUCAGGCCUGCCCUGUCCCAUGUCUGCUUCCAGAUGCCAUCAUCACAGAAGGAGGGGAGAAUUUUAGUCAAGGUCAGAGGCAGCUGUUCUGCCUGGCUCGGGCCUUCGUGAGAAAGACCAGCAUCUUCAUCAUGGACGAAGCAACUGCCUCCAUUGACAUGGCUACGGAAAACAUCCUCCAGAAGGUGGUGAUGACAGCCUUCGCAGACCGCACUGUGGUCACCAUCGCGCACCGCGUACACACCAUCCUGAGUGCAGACCUCGUGAUGGUCCUGAAGAGGGGAGCCAUCCUGGAGUUUGACAAACCGGAGAAGCUUCUGAGCCAGAAGGACAGCGUCUUCGCCUCCUUCGUCCGCGCGGACAAAUGACUCUGCCAGCGCCAGCGUGCCGCCCCGCACCUCACUUGCUUGCCUAGUGUUUCGUACUGUAAAUCACUUGUAAAUAAAGAAAUUAAUUCUUUGC
This is an RNA transcript of Mus musculus (house mouse), 6359 nucleotides long. It is a transcript of the gene named ATP-binding cassette, sub-family C member 8, with no coding region annotated. Lineage: Eukaryota; Metazoa; Chordata; Mammalia; Rodentia; Muridae. The record is from RefSeq and is marked validated. The transcript has 37 exons.